This is a long non-coding RNA of Zingiber officinale, 593 nucleotides long. RefSeq lists it as uncharacterized. The transcript has 2 exons. NCBI's taxonomy places the organism in Eukaryota, Viridiplantae, Streptophyta, Magnoliopsida, Zingiberales, Zingiberaceae. The record is from RefSeq and is a predicted model, not a curated record.
CCUCUUUCCCGAUCAUAGUGGAGGCUAUCCAUCGCUGAGGUCCAUGCCCUAGUUUUGCCAUCGCCGCCGCUCUCCCUCACGACCUGGUCAUGUUGUCUUGCCGAACGACGACGCAUUGACACCAACCUUCUGCGUGAGAUCCUCCAGUGAGGCAUCGGCUAUCGCCAUCGCGGGAGGCGACGCUGUCAGCUUGAUGAUGCUGCCCAUCUCCCGAUUUCUUCCUGUUGUCUCCUGAUCUAUCAUCACCGAUGACCAAGCGAAUGCCUUCGGUAUUCCUUGAUCCAUUGCCGUUCAAUCUUGUUGGAUCUAUGCUCAAGGUCACCUCUCGAUCUCUUCUUCUUUGAUCGAUUUUUGCUGUGAGUAUGUGUUGGGUGUCACAGAUCACUGGAAUAUCUGAUUCUAGCCAUUCCCUGGCUUGACGAGGAAUUUCUUGCCACAAGAAGGGUUAAGACUGGAUAGGGCCACCAAUUUUGGUAGAGGUCAUCAGUUUCCUGUCUCUCACAGUUGCAAUUAGAGAGGAAGUUACUUUGGAUUUAGAUUAAGGUAAGGUAUGUUCAGUACCUAAUUAAUAGAGAAUUUGUUCUGUUGCUGCA